GACGAACGCUGGCGGCGUGCUUAACACAUGCAAGUCGAACGGAAAGGCCCUGCUUUUGUGGGGUGCUCGAGUGGCGAACGGGUGAGUAACACGUGAGUAACCUGCCCUUGACUUUGGGAUAACUUCAGGAAACUGGGGCUAAUACCGGAUAGGAGCUCCUGCUGCAUGGUGGGGGUUGGAAAGUUUCGGCGGUUGGGGAUGGACUCGCGGCUUAUCAGCUUGUUGGUGGGGAGUGGCUUACCAAGGCUUUGACGGGUAGCCGGCCUGAGAGGGUGACCGGCCACAUUGGGACUGAGAUACGGCCCAGACUCCUACGGGAGGCAGCAGUGGGGAAUAUUGCACAAUGGGCGGAAGCCUGAUGCAGCAGCGCCGCGCGCGGGAUGACGGCCUUCGGGUUGUAAACCGCUUGCGCCUGUGACGAAGCGUGAGUGACGGUAAUGGGUAAAGAAGCACCGGCUAACUACGUG
RNAcentral lists this ribosomal RNA (467 nucleotides) under uncultured bacterium. RNAcentral's name for it is "partial 16S ribosomal RNA". It matches the Rfam family "Bacterial small subunit ribosomal RNA", at positions 28 to 507 of the family's 1533-position model. The record is from RNAcentral.